RNAcentral lists this unclassified non-coding RNA (309 nucleotides) under Hevea brasiliensis (rubber tree). Lineage: Eukaryota; Viridiplantae; Streptophyta; Magnoliopsida; Malpighiales; Euphorbiaceae. The record is from RNAcentral.
CAUCAUCUAGAGUCUGUGCAGGUGGUGUAGAAGAAGAAGAAACACGGGUUGCUAGAUUAUACCCAUUUAACAGAGGAAGGAUCUGCCCUUUCCAUAGGAGGUAGUUUGAGGAGGCAAGCUUAACUGAUAAUAGUUGAGAAACGUUUGGGACUGAGGAAGAAGAAAUGGGGACAGGAGAUGAUGAAGUAUUUGUUGCCAUGGAUGGCCUGUGUUAGCUCUGAUACCAUGAAAGUGUUUGGGUUGAACUUAUAUUUUGUAUUAUUGAAGUUGUGAAUAUAUGCAACAUAAAGAGUGGUAUCGUAUCUAAAG